CCACAAUUUUAUGUAUAUGUAUAUAUAGUAAAUAACCAUUAUGAUUGGUUAAAUUACACAGCACUAGUCUACACCCACAUUCCAACUUUCAACAUACAAGAAGAAGAAAGUACAUAAAAGAUGAUUGCAUUAAUGCAAUUGGACAGGGUGUGAGCACCACCAAAGAACCAAACCACAGAAAAUCAAAACCAGUGGGAUUAAAUGAACAGCUUUCUCUCCGGCCGAAGGCUUUAUCUUCGACGAGCCGUCAGAAACCACAUAUUCAUCAUCGUAUUCUGCUAACAGAUUCUGGUUCGAAUCGAAACCUUUCAAUGCAGAUGAUGGGAAGUUCACCAAGAAUUCCUCCGAGGAUCGAGCAGCCGAAUGACUCGCCGAUCGAUGCAUAUCUUCCACGAACCUAUUAUUCGACAUGUAAAAUGUAUAAUGAGUGAAUAUAUAUAUAUAUAUUUAUAAGAAUGAAGAUUUUGUGUACAUGAUUAUGAAAAGAAGUUAGAGAGAUGAGAAAAUCAUAUAUAGCGGUGGCAAAAGUAAGCACCUUUGCUUCUUCUUCUUUGUGUGCUUCUUUUAUUUCUGACUGAGUUGUGAAAUGUG
This 591-nucleotide long non-coding RNA is filed under the name Salvia miltiorrhiza (redroot sage). Its description in RNAcentral is "long non-coding RNA (SMIL_LNC012277)". Lineage: Eukaryota; Viridiplantae; Streptophyta; Magnoliopsida; Lamiales; Lamiaceae. The record is from RNAcentral.